AGAAGAAGAGGCGGAAUUACUGUGAGCGAUGGUCCAAGAUGAAGACAAUUCUAGCAUUGGAGACUAUGGAUAUUCCUGGCGGUGUUAAGAUUAAGAUGAAAGCCAAGCAGAUCGAGGUGGAGGGACCACGCAGGAAGCUUACUCGCAACUUCAAGCAUCUCAACCUCGACUUCCAACUCAUCACCGAUGAGGUCACCGGAAAGAGGAAGCUCAAGGUCGACACUUGGUUCGGCUCCUGCAAGACCACUGCCGCAAUUCGAACUGCCCUCAGCCACGUCGAGAACCUCAUCACCGACGUUACCAAGGGCUACUGCUACAAGAUGAGAUUCGUCUAUGCACAUUUCCCAAUCAACGCCUCCAUCACCAACUCCAACCGUUCUAUUGAGAUCCGCAACUUCCUUGGUGAGAAGAAGGUGGAUAUGCUUGAAGAAGUCACUGUUAUCCGGUCUGAGAAGGUUAAGGAUGAAUUGGUGUUGGAUAGCAAUGACAUUGAGCUUGUUUCCCGAUCUGCUGCCCUGAUAAACCAAAAAUGCCAUGUGAAGAACAAAGAUAUCCGGAAGUUCCUUGAUGGUAUCUAUGUCAGUGAGAAGGGGCAAAUAGCUGAGGAGGAGUGAGAUCUGUAAUUAAGAAGAAGUAUGGCCAAGAUGCAACAAAUGUUGGUGAUGAGGGUGACAUUGCUCUAAUAUCCAGGAGAACAAGGAAGGUCUUGAAUUGCUUAAAACAGCUAUUGCUAAAGCUGGUUACACUGGUAAAGUUGUGAUUGGGAUGGAUGUGGCUGCUUCUGAGUUUUAUGGUAAAGA
Coffea arabica (coffee) is the source of this 800-nucleotide non-coding RNA. NCBI's taxonomy places the organism in Eukaryota, Viridiplantae, Streptophyta, Magnoliopsida, Gentianales, Rubiaceae. The record is from RefSeq and is a predicted model, not a curated record.